Molecule: small RNA, 331 nt
Filed under: Pan troglodytes (chimpanzee)
Lineage: Eukaryota; Metazoa; Chordata; Mammalia; Primates; Hominidae
Description: processed transcript
Source: RNAcentral
CCUUUUUCCAUUUUUUUUCCUCCUUAAUCUUAAUGUCUUACUACCCUAUCAGUUCAUCCUAUACAUUGCUCAAGGCUCAACUGGAAGCUUUUCUUCUUUUCAGGUUUAGCUGUGUCUCCCAGUGACUAUAAUGACAAGGAAGCUGUAAAUGUAUUUGAGUUAAGUUUUUGCGAGAAACCCUACAGCUUGGGGCCUGGGCUCCUCUGACCAUCCUCAUUGAGAAAGGAAAGUGAGUCCAGAGAAGUCGAUGCUUCCUACCUGUUGGAGCGGCCCAGCAGUGGCCAACAAUGAGUUGUUAAAACGUCUCCAGGAGGAAGUGGGUGACCUGAGG